ACGAAGGGUCCUAGCGUUGUUCGGAAUUACUGGGCGUAAAGGGCGCGUAGGCGGCUCGUUAAGUCAGGUGUGAAAGCCCCAAGCUCAACUUGGGAACUGCAUUUGAUACUGGCGGGCUAGAGAUCGGAAGAGGUGAGUGGAAUUCCUAGUGUAGAGGUGAAAUUCGUAGAUAUUAGGAAGAACACCAGCGGCGAAGGCGGCUCACUGGUCCGAUACUGACGCUAAGGCGCGAAAGCGUGGGGAGCAAACAGG
RNAcentral lists this ribosomal RNA (252 nucleotides) under uncultured bacterium. RNAcentral describes it as "partial 16S ribosomal RNA". It matches the Rfam family "Bacterial small subunit ribosomal RNA", at positions 525 to 776 of the family's 1533-position model. The record is from RNAcentral.